Long non-coding RNA from Hyalella azteca, 374 nucleotides. RefSeq lists it as uncharacterized. Lineage: Eukaryota; Metazoa; Arthropoda; Malacostraca; Amphipoda; Hyalellidae. The record is from RefSeq and is a predicted model, not a curated record. The transcript has 3 exons.
UGGACGUACAGGAGUUUUAUUCGGGCUGUGGAACCUGCAACUGAAGGCAAAGGAACCUGCAGAGUUUUCCUCUGCAGAAGUUUAUGUUAUGGAAGUGAUUUUAAACCUGCGCAGGAACAGAGCACACAUGGUGGAUUCACUCGAAAAGGCGGAAAGUCUGGUCAUGGCUUUCAUUUAUUAUCUCAAGCUUGUAGUCAAUACAACUGGAGGAAUCACGUUCGACCUGGCAGGGAAUGAUGACCUCCUAUCACAGCUCAGUAUGGCUUCCAUUGAUGAUGGAUAUCAAAACACGUACACCGGGGAACUGAUUGCCAGUAGCAGAACUGGGGACACCAUUGAUGAGGCAAGCCCACUAAUGAAUCAAGAACCACUUG